CUUUGUUUGCCAUUGACUCCGUCAAAGAACAUGGUGAACUGCUGAUCUUUCUUCUUCAAAGGGAAGUAGAUACCAGCAGUCAAGUGUCCUUUAGGGUCACGGGCCAAAAGACUCCUAAAAAUAAGAAAAAAAGAAUUAUUUCACAUGAAAAUCUUGUAAAUUAUUUAGUCUUUGAUAACAUAUACUAUUUAGUAUAUUCUAGCUAAAAUAUCUUAGAUUUGUUUAGUGCUUACCUUAAAUCCCAGACCAAAUUUCGCUUCUCGGUAACAGCAACAGCACUUAAAUAUGCUUUUGUAACAUACACGAGAGAAAGACGUUCUUUUACUUUGUCUCCACGAG
This is a long non-coding RNA of Nymphalis io (European peacock), 339 nucleotides long. RefSeq lists it as uncharacterized. The transcript has 2 exons. The record is from RefSeq and is a predicted model, not a curated record. Lineage: Eukaryota; Metazoa; Arthropoda; Insecta; Lepidoptera; Nymphalidae.